UAGCUGGGUUCAAGAGAGGUUUUAAUGUCUGGGUUCAAGAGAGGUUUUAAUAGCUGCAUGGGUUUACAAGAGGUUUUAAUGUCUGGGUUUACAAGAGGUUUUAAUAGCUGGGUUUACAAGAGGUUUUAAUGGCUGGGUUUACAAGAGGUUUUAAUGGCUGGGUUUACAAGAGGUUUUAAUGGCUGGGUUUACAAGAGGUUUUAAUGGCUGGGUUUACAAGAGGUUUUAAUGGCUGGGUUUACAAGAGGUUUUAAUGGCUGGGUUCAAGAGAGGUUUUAAUGGCUGGGUUUACAAGAGGUUUUAAUGGCUGGGUUCAAGAGAGGUUUUAAUGGCUGGGUUUACAAGAGGUUUUAAUGGCUGGGUUCAAGAGGUUUUAAUGGCUGGGUUCAAGAGAGGUUUUAAUGGCUGGGUUCAAGAGAGGUUUUAAUGGCUGGGUUCAAGAGAGGUUUUAAUGGCUGGGUUCAAGAGAGGUUUUAAUGGCUGGGUUCAAGAGAGGUUUUAAUGGCUGGGUUCAAGAGAGGUUUUAAUGGCUGGGUUCAAGAGAGGUUUUAAUGGCUGGGUUCAAGAGAGGUUUUAAUGGCUGGGUUCAAGAGAGGUUUUAAUGGCUGGGUUUACAAGAGGUUUUAAUGGCUGGGUUCAAGAGAGGUUUUAAUGGCUGGGUUUACAAGAGGUUUUAAUGGCUGGGUUCAAGAGAGGUUUUAAUGGCUGGGUUCAAGAGAGGUUUUAAUGGCUGGGUUCAAGAGAGGUUUUAAUAGCUGGGUUCAAGAGAGGUUUUAAUAGCUGGGUUCAAGAGAGGUUUUAAUAGCUGGGUUUACAAGAGGUUUUAAUAGCUGGGUUUACAAGAGGUUUUAAUAGCUGGGUUUACAAGAGGUUUUAAUGGCUGGGUUUACAAGAGGU
Eriocheir sinensis (Chinese mitten crab) is the source of this 897-nucleotide long non-coding RNA. RefSeq lists it as uncharacterized. The transcript is spliced from 3 exons. NCBI's taxonomy places the organism in Eukaryota, Metazoa, Arthropoda, Malacostraca, Decapoda, Varunidae. The record is from RefSeq and is a predicted model, not a curated record.